RNAcentral lists this unclassified non-coding RNA (227 nucleotides) under uncultured fungus. RNAcentral describes it as "sequence contains ITS1". The record is from RNAcentral. Lineage: Eukaryota; Fungi.
UAUUGUAUUGCGUUAAACGCGGCAUACAUUCCAUGAGACUUCAUUACGGUGUGUGUGUGUGUAAAGAUAUAGAACCACAGCGCAGGAGAACAGAGUCCCCCAAGGCCAUAGAACUACAGGUGUGAGUGGAUGUGCAAACAGAGCGUGCACGUGCCCCCAUUUGAGGGCCAGCAACAACUCGUGUUGGCGAUUCGGUAAUGAUCCUUCCGCAGGUUCACCUACGGAAA